This 275-nucleotide long non-coding RNA is filed under the name Vitis vinifera (wine grape). RNAcentral describes it as "long non-coding RNA (VVIN_LNC002883)". The record is from RNAcentral. Lineage: Eukaryota; Viridiplantae; Streptophyta; Magnoliopsida; Vitales; Vitaceae.
CUAGUGCAAAGUAAGGAUCAACAACUUCUAGAUGCCAUGGAGAUUUCAGUUUUCUUUAAUGCUUUUUAAAACACUGAUGACCUAUUCAUCUGCAUGAAACCUUCAAAUAAAUUGGUCGAAUUUGAAGUCAUCUGCAUGAAACCUUCAAAUAAAUUGGUCGAAUUUGAAGUCUUUCUUCUUGUUUGCAGAUAUUCUUCUCGGAACCUGUCCUCUCCCAUCAAGGCAAAUCUGCAUUUCUCUCUUAGUAGAAGUGGGAUACUUUCUCUGGAUCGAGC